RNAcentral lists this ribosomal RNA (1532 nucleotides) under Vibrio fluvialis. RNAcentral describes it as "partial 23S ribosomal RNA". It matches the Rfam family "Bacterial large subunit ribosomal RNA", at positions 152 to 1736 of the family's 2925-position model. Lineage: Bacteria; Pseudomonadati; Pseudomonadota; Gammaproteobacteria; Vibrionales; Vibrionaceae. The record is from RNAcentral.
UGUUAACUGAAUACAUAGGUUAACAGGGCGAACCGGGGGAACUGAAACAUCUAAGUACCCCGAGGAGAAGAAAUCAACCGAGAUUCCGAUAGUAGCGGCGAGCGAAAUUGGAUUAGCCCUUAAGCUUUACAUGCGUCAGGUGAAGGUUCUGGAAAGGACCGCGAAACAGGGUGAUAGCCCCGUAGCCGACAGCGCAUGUUCAGUGAAAUCGAGUAGGGCGGGACACGUGUUAUCCUGUCUGAAUAUGGGGGGACCAUCCUCCAAGGCUAAAUACUCCUGACUGACCGAUAGUGAACCAGUACCGUGAGGGAAAGGCGAAAAGAACCCCUGUGAGGGGAGUGAAAUAGAACCUGAAACCGUGUACGUACAAGCAGUAGGAGCCUCCUUUGUGGGGUGACUGCGUACCUUUUGUAUAAUGGGUCAGCGACUUAUAUUCAGUGGCAAGGUUAACCAUUUAGGGGAGCCGUAGGGAAACCGAGUCUUAACUGGGCGUUCAGUCUCUGGAUAUAGACCCGAAACCGGGUGAUCUAGCCAUGGGCAGGUUGAAGGUUGAGUAACAUCAACUGGAGGACCGAACCGACUAAUGUUGAAAAAUUAGCGGAUGACUUGUGGCUAGGGGUGAAAGGCCAAUCAAACUCGGAGAUAGCUGGUUCUCCCCGAAAGCUAUUUAGGUAGCGCCUCGGACGAAUACUACUGGGGGUAGAGCACUGUUAAGGCUAGGGGGUCAUCCCGACUUACCAACCCUUUGCAAACUCCGAAUACCAGUAAGUACUAUCCGGGAGACACACGGCGGGUGCUAACGUCCGUCGUGGAGAGGGAAACAACCCAGACCGCCAGCUAAGGUCCCAAAUUACAGCUAAGUGGGAAACGAUGUGGGAAGGCUCAGACAGCUAGGAUGUUGGCUUAGAAGCAGCCAUCAUUUAAAGAAAGCGUAAUAGCUCACUAGUCGAGUCGGCCUGCGCGGAAGAUGUAACGGGGCUAAGCUGUAAACCGAAGCUGCGGCAAUGCGAUUUAUCGUAUUGGGUAGGGGAGCGUUCUGUAAGCCGUUGAAGGUGUGUUGUAAAGCAUGCUGGAGGUAUCAGAAGUGCGAAUGCUGACAUGAGUAACGACAAGGGGGGUGAAAAACCUCCCCGCCGGAAGACCAAGGGUUCCUGUCCAACGUUAAUCGGGGCAGGGUAAGUCGACCCCUAAGGCGAGGCCGAAAGGCGUAGUCGAUGGGAAACGGGUUAAUAUUCCCGUACUUCUUACAAUUGCGAUGGGGGGACGGAGAAGGCUAGGUGGGCCUGGCGACGGUUGUCCAGGUUCAAGUGCGUAGGCUUGAGGGUUAGGUAAAUCCGGCUCUCUUUAAGGCUGAGACACGACGUCGAGCUACUACGGUAGUGAAGUCAUUGAUGCCAUGCUUCCAGGAAAAGCCUCUAAGCUUCAGAUUGUAAGGAAUCGUACCCCAAACCGACACAGGUGGUCGGGUAGAGAAUACCAAGGCGCUUGAGAGAACUCGGGUGAAGGAACUAGGCAAAAUGGUACCGUAACUU